UAAGAAAAUUUUUCAACGAAGAGUUCAGGG
RNAcentral lists this non-coding RNA (30 nucleotides) under Rattus norvegicus (Norway rat). The record is from RNAcentral. Lineage: Eukaryota; Metazoa; Chordata; Mammalia; Rodentia; Muridae.